AGGAAAGGAAAGAAAGGAAAGGAAAGGGGAGGAGAGGAGGCAGGGAGGAAGGAAAGAAAGAAAGGACAGAAGAAAGGUCAGCCCCUUCAAGAUACCUUCCCUACCUACCCCUGGUAUCUCCAAAUGAAAACCUUAUCAGAACACAACAGAAUAACGGUUUGGUUUCAUUUCAGUUACGGCAAUAAAAAUAACCCUUCUGGAUACUGUGUAUACAUUAUCUCUUUUAAUCCUUAUGAGGCUGAUACUGGCAUCCCCGUUGUACAGAUGAGAAAGCCACAUCUUCACAUUAAUGGCCUGCUUCAGUCGGACCUAUGCCGAGCAGUUCACAUGGACUAUCUUGCUUCACAUCACAAUAUCCCUGAAAGAUGGCUACUAUAUUAAAGAUGACGACACCAAGAGUGAAGAUCCCCAAAUGGUUUUUCUAAGAGGAAAAGUAGCUUUUCUACAGUUGAGCCCUAAAGGCUGUCCUGAGGUUCUGCCUCAGAAUCUCACUCUGGAUUUUUCAUUUCUUCCCUCUGCUGUGUCCCAAGGACUGGCCUGCUCUCCUCCCUCUUGAAGGAGGCAUCGUCCACCCAUGGGGUGAGGGGAGGUGUUGUGAAGGCGGCUGGAGCAUCCCCAUCUCUCUGAUGCCACCUUCCUUGUUAACCUUCAAUACAAUCAUGUAAACCGGGUUUGUUUUUGGUUUCAAGAAUUUCACUGCUGACGUAUGAGGCAAGAGAUGGGAUAAUAAAAUUAACAAAUGGGGUUAUUAUACACA
Molecule: long non-coding RNA, 757 nt
Organism: Felis catus (domestic cat)
Lineage: Eukaryota; Metazoa; Chordata; Mammalia; Carnivora; Felidae
Exons: 2
Source: RefSeq, a predicted model, not a curated record